Molecule: long non-coding RNA, 821 nt
Organism: Ostrea edulis (European flat oyster)
Lineage: Eukaryota; Metazoa; Mollusca; Bivalvia; Ostreida; Ostreidae
Exons: 2
Source: RefSeq, a predicted model, not a curated record
AUGAAAGACCAUGCCCCCUUCAAAGGAAAUGAUCACAAAAAUGCUAAAAUAGGGUGGGCUCGUUUAAAAAGUUCUUCUCAAAAAUCACUGGGCUAGAAGAGUUGAAAUUUACAUCAAAGCUUUCUAACAGUGCAAAUUUAAUUUUGUUCAAACCAAAACCCACAGGAGUAGGGUAGGGCCACAAUAGCCGUGUUUCGAGUUACUCCGGAACACAGUGUUUAUUCUGUGUUUAGUCACGCCGCGUCAAAAAUGUUCCACAGGGUUACUUCCGGUUUAUCGUUGUUUACCAACAGUCGACACUUCGUGUAUUAGGCCUAGGCUUAAUUUUGUCGAUCAUCAUGAAAUUGAAAUACAAAUUUAAUAGUUUGGGGUGUAUGCGGUACAUAUUUGUUUAUGAGCGUUUGAUAAGCUACUAUUGAUCUACGAAAUACAACGAAAGACUUCGUCAAGAACAGAAGAAGACGAUGCAUGUCGUGUAACUCACACAAGGCCCAGCUGUCUAGUAACCGGAGGGGUAAAGGAAAAGAACGUAUUAGACUCACUGAAACCUGUCAAACAGGUAUAUGGGAACAGGAUCAUUUUCCAUGCCUUUCACUUGAGGUCUUCAGUUUCAUCAUUAAUCAUCUGAAUGUCGGUAUGCCAAACUCUCAUGAUGUCAUGCCAUUACUGGAUAUUCCUUAACACUGGUUUAUUUAAGCCACACUACCUAUAACAUUGCCAAAAUAUUAGACUGAAAAUUUUCAAAUACACAAGAUUUGAAGCAGCAAAAGAAAAGAAUUACAUAUGUAUAACACACAAAAAAGAAGAAAUUAAUUCUCACC